CCAGGGGCAGCAUCUCUGCAAUGGCCGCGCCCUGCUGAGCGGAGCCCUGGGCGUAGCCAUUUCACGCCAGGAACUCAGGUGUGAAGCCCCGGCGUGAGGCUCUGCACGUGGCAUCCUAUGAGCAAGCAAAGCUAGAACCAGGAAAAGGAAAAGGAAAAAAAAAAGUUAGACUUUAUUUUAUGACCCAGAUUCUACUUGUAUUUCCUGAGACUUGUUGAUGAGCUUUGCAGGUGACACAAAUAAGAAAAAACAGAAGAAAGCAAAAUGAUGGCAUUUAGAUCACUGUAGAGGCAGCUGAGACAAGGAAGUGAAUAAAAACCAUCCACGCUCUAGUACUUACUGUUUACAUACUCAGAUGCCCAGGAGAAAUGUCCUCUGCUUGGAACUGGCAGAGCAGAACGGAAACUAAAGCCCAGAGAGAUUCGAUGAUGUGGACAAGCUGGCGUAGUUGCUGAGGUUGGUGAUUUUCAGACUGAAAAAGGCAAAACUAGUGAGGUCACUAUGGAAAUGACGACCCAAGUCAAGAUAUGAAAAAAAAAAAAAAGAAUUUUCACUGAUAAUUUGGAUGAUGGGACCAGAAUCAAAGGAAUUUGAUCAGCUGAAGUUACAUGCUUUUCAUCUUGCCAGAUGAAGUUUAAUUGAGGGCAUGUUACCAGUGCUCUCUGGGUCUCCGUUUUUUCAGCCUACAACAUGGCGAUAAUAAAGACUGCUUGCUGGAGUUCUCUGAAAUUGCUGCAAGAUAAUGUAGGUAAAGUACUGAUGCUGAUACCUCCUGAUAUAAUCAAUAAAUGUAGUUGUCUUCUCUGCAGUGAUUAAAAUGCAGAAGUUUCUCUCUUGUAAGGCAAAAUAAACAGCCUAAAAUGACUCUGAA
Molecule: long non-coding RNA, 871 nt
Organism: Odocoileus virginianus texanus
Lineage: Eukaryota; Metazoa; Chordata; Mammalia; Artiodactyla; Cervidae
Source: RefSeq, a predicted model, not a curated record